AACGAACGCUGGCGGCAUGCCUAACACAUGCAAGUCGAGCGGGGUGAUGGUGCUUGCACUAUCACUUAGCGGCGGACGGGUGAGUAAUGCUUAGGAAUCUGCCUAUUAGUGGGGGACAACAUCUCGAAAGGGAUGCUAAUACCGCAUACGUCCUACGGGAGAAAGCAGGGGAUCACUUGUGACCUUGCGCUAAUAGAUGAGCCUAAGUCGGAUUAGCUAGUUGGUGGGGUAAAGGCCUACCAAGGCGACGAUCUGUAGCGGGUCUGAGAGGAUGCUCCGCCACACUGGGACUGAGACACGGCCCAGACUCCUACGGGAGGCAGCAGUGGGGAAUAUUGGACAAGGGGGGGAACCAUGAGCCAGUCAUGCCGCGUGUGUGAAGAAGGCCUUAUGGUUGUAAAGCACUUUAAGCGAGGAGGAGGCUCUUUUGGUUAAUACCCAAGAUGAGUGGACGUUACUCGCAGAAUAAGCACCGGCUAACUCUGUGCCAGCCGCCGCGGUAA
Molecule: ribosomal RNA, 503 nt
Filed under: uncultured bacterium
Lineage: Bacteria
Description: partial 16S ribosomal RNA
Rfam family: Bacterial small subunit ribosomal RNA
Source: RNAcentral